CAGCGCCACAAGUGGGAGCCGCGAUUAUUGGGCCUAAAGCGUCCGUAGCCUGUCAAGUAAAUCUUUUGUGAAAUCGUCCAGCUUAACUGGACGGCGUGCAGAAGAGACUGCUUGACUAGGGACCGGGAGGAGUUAGGGGUAUUCCUUGGGGAGCGGUAAAAUGCUAUAAUCCUUGUAAGACCACCUGUGGCGAAGGCGCCUAACCAGAACGGGUCCGACGGUGAGGGACGAAAGCUAGGGGAGCAAUCCGGAUUAGAUACCCGAGUAGUCC
This 271-nucleotide ribosomal RNA is filed under the name uncultured archaeon. RNAcentral's name for it is "partial 16S ribosomal RNA". It matches the Rfam family "Archaeal small subunit ribosomal RNA", at positions 477 to 747 of the family's 1478-position model. The record is from RNAcentral.